UACGUAGGGGGCGAGCGUUGUCCGGAUUUAUUGGGCGUAAAGAGCUCGUAGGCGGCUUGGCAAGUCGGGUGUGAAACCUCCAGGCUCAACCUGGAGACGCCACUCGAUACUGCCAUGGCUAGAGUCCGGUAGGGGACCACGGAAUUCCUGGUGUAGCGGUGAAAUGCGCAGAUAUCAGGAGGAACACCGGUGGCGAAGGCGGGUCUCUGGGCAGUAACUGACGCUGAGGAGCGAAAGCGUGGGGAGCGAACAGG
RNAcentral lists this ribosomal RNA (254 nucleotides) under uncultured bacterium. RNAcentral describes it as "partial 16S ribosomal RNA". It matches the Rfam family "Bacterial small subunit ribosomal RNA", at positions 524 to 776 of the family's 1533-position model. The record is from RNAcentral.